This 420-nucleotide ribosomal RNA is filed under the name Fusobacteriota bacterium. RNAcentral's name for it is "Fusobacteria bacterium partial 16S ribosomal RNA". It matches the Rfam family "Bacterial small subunit ribosomal RNA", at positions 355 to 776 of the family's 1533-position model. Lineage: Bacteria; Fusobacteriati; Fusobacteriota. The record is from RNAcentral.
UGGGGGAUAUUGCACAAUGGGCGAAAGCCUGAUGCAGCGACGCCGCGUGGGGGAUGAAGGCCUUCAGGUUGUAAACUUCUUUUGCUCUGAACAAGGCAUGCCUUUGGGGUGUGUUGAGUGUAGGGGAUGAUUAGCGCCGGCUAACUACGUGCCAGCAGCCGCGGUAAUACGCAGUGCGCGAGCGUUGUCCGGAAUUAUUGGGCGUAAAGGGCUUGUAGGUGGCUGGUUGCGUCUGUCGUGAAAGCUCAUGACUUAACUGUGGUUUUGCGGUGGGUACGCGCUGGGUUGAGUGCAGUAGGGGGGGCUGGAAUACCUGGUGUGGCGGUGGAAUGCGCAGAUAUCAGAAGGAAUACCGGUGGCGAAGGCGGGUCUCUGGGCUGUUACUGACGCUGAGGAGCGAAAGCGUGGGGAGCGAACAGG